GACGAACGCUGGCGGCGUGCUUAACACAUGCAAGUCGAACGGAAAGGCCCUGCUUUUGUGGGGUGCUCGAGUGGCGAACGGGUGAGUAACACGUGAGUAACCUGCCCUUGACUUUGGGAUAACUUCAGGAAACUGGGGCUAAUACCGGAUAGGAGCUCCUGCUGCAUGGUGGGGGUUGGAAAGUUUCGGCGGUUGGGGAUGGACUCGCGGCUUAUCAGCUUGUUGGUGGGGUAGUGGCUUACCAAGGCUUUGACGGGUAGCCGGCCUGAGAGGGUGACCGGCCACAUUGGGACUGAGAUACGGCCGAGACUCCUACGGGAGGCAGCAGUGGGGAAUAUUGCACAAUGGGCGGAAGCCUGAUGCAGCAACGCCGCGUGCGGGAUGACGGCCUUCGGGUUGUAAACCGCUUUCGCCUGUGACGAAGCGUGAGUGACGGUAAUGGGUAAAGAAGCACCGGCUAACUACGU
RNAcentral lists this ribosomal RNA (467 nucleotides) under uncultured bacterium. Its description in RNAcentral is "partial 16S ribosomal RNA". It matches the Rfam family "Bacterial small subunit ribosomal RNA", at positions 28 to 506 of the family's 1533-position model. The record is from RNAcentral.